GAGCUAGAGGAUAGAGAUGUGUUAGAGGAAGCUAGAGGUUAGAGAUGUAUGUGUAAGAGGAAGCUAUAGGUUAAAGAGAUGUGUUAGAGGAAGCUAGAGGAUAGAGAUGUGUUAGAGAAAGCUAGAGGUUAGAGAUGUGUUUUAGAGGAAGCUAGAUGCUAGAGAUGUGUUAGAGGAAGCUAGAGGAUAGAGAUGUGUUAGAGAAAGCCAGACGAUAGAGAUGUGUAAGAGGAAGCUAGAGGUUAGAGAUGUGUGUUAGAGGAAGCUAGAGGUUAGAGAUGUGUUAGAGGAAGCUAUAGGUUAAGAGAUGUGUUAGAGGAAGCUAGAGGAUAGAGAUGUGUUAGAGGAAGCUAGAGGAUAGAGAUGUGUUAGAGGAAGCUAGAGGUUAAAGAUGUGUUAGAGGAAGCUAGAGGAUAGAGAUGUGUUAGAGGAAGCUAGAGGUUAGAGAUGUGUGUUAGAGGAAGCUAGAGGUUAAAGAUAUGUGUUUUAGAGGAAGCUAGAGGAUAGAGAUGUGUUAGAGGAAGCUAGAGGUUAGAGAUGUGUUAGAGGAAG
This is a long non-coding RNA of Oncorhynchus tshawytscha (Chinook salmon), 552 nucleotides long. NCBI's taxonomy places the organism in Eukaryota, Metazoa, Chordata, Actinopteri, Salmoniformes, Salmonidae. The record is from Ensembl.